Molecule: ribosomal RNA, 440 nt
Filed under: uncultured bacterium
Lineage: Bacteria
Description: partial 16S ribosomal RNA
Rfam family: Bacterial small subunit ribosomal RNA
Source: RNAcentral
CCUACGGGGUGCAGCAGUGGGGAAUAUUGCACAAUGGGGGAAACCCUGAUGCAGCGACGCCGCGUGAGUGAAGAAGUAUUUCGGUACGUAAAGCUCUAUCAGCAGGGAAGAAAAUGACGGUACCUGACUAAGAAGCCCCGGCUAACUACGUGCCAGCAGCCGCGGUAAUACGUAGGGGGCAAGCGUUAUCCGGAUUUACUGGGUGUAAAGGGAGCGUAGACGGCAGUGCAAGUCUGGAGUGAAAUCCCAUGGCUUAACCAUGGAACUGCUUUGGAAACUGUGCAGCUAGAGUGCAGGAGAGGUAAGCGGAAUUCCUAGUGUAGCGGUGAAAUGCGUAGAUAUUAGGAGGAACACCAGUGGCGAAGGCGGCUUACUGGACUGUAACUGACGUUGAGGCUCGAAAGCGUGGGGAGCAAACAGGAUUAGAUACCCUUGUAGUC